UGGGGAAUAUUGCACAAUGGGGGAAACCCUGAUGCAGCGACGCCGCGUGAACGAAGAAGGUAUUCGUAUCGUAAAGUUCUGUCCUAUGGGAAGAUAAUGACAGUACCAUAGAAGAAAGCUCCGGCUAAAUACGUGCCAGCAGCCGCGGUAAUACGUAUGGAGCGAGCGUUGUCCGGAAUUAUUGGGCGUAAAGGGUACGCAGGCGGUUUAAUAAGUCGAAUGUUAAAGAUCGGGGCUCAACCCCGUAAAGCAUUGGAAACUGAUAAACUUGAGUAGUGGAGAGGAAAGUGGAAUUCCUAGUGUAGUGGUGAAAUACGUAGAUAUUAGGAGGAAUACCAGUGGCGAAGGCGACUUUCUGGGCACAAACUGACGCUGAGGUACGAAAGCGUGGGGAGCAAACAGG
This 403-nucleotide ribosomal RNA is filed under the name bacterium. RNAcentral's name for it is "partial 16S ribosomal RNA". It matches the Rfam family "Bacterial small subunit ribosomal RNA", at positions 355 to 776 of the family's 1533-position model. The record is from RNAcentral.